AUGAGGGGCCCGUCCCUGGCCCCGUUCCAAACCGAGGCAUUUCUGGCUCAGGCCAUUCCCUCACGUCUGUACAAUGUCUGUCCCCCACCACAGCCAGUAGUGCUGCAGUAGAUUUUUGCUGCACAAAAACUGUGAGCCUUCUGCCUGGGGAACUCCCACAAAAAGUUCCAACAGGGGUCUGUGGACCCUUGCUAGCGGGGACGAUAAGAUUACUUUUAGGAAGGUCUAGUUUAAAUUUAAAAGGGGUACAAAUACAAACAGGAGUCAUUGAUUCAGAUUACAAUGGGGAAAUUCAAAUUGUUAUAUCUACUUCUGUUCCCUGUAAAGCAGAGCCAGGAGAGCGUAUAGCACAGCUCCUGAUUGUGCCGUAUAUGGAAACGGGGAAAAGUGAAAUUAAACUAACAGGAGGAUUUGGAAGCACAACUAAACAAGGCAAAGCAGCUUACUGGGUGAAUCAAAUUACUGAUAAACAUCCUACCUGUGAAAUAACUAUUCAGGGAAAGAAAUUUAAAGGUUUUGUAGAUACAGGAGCGGACAUUUCAAUUAUUUCUCUACAGCACUGGCCAUCCACUUGGCCAGUUCAACCCACUCAAUUUAACAUAGUUGGAGUUGGUAAAGCCCCUGAAGUAUAUCCAAGUAGUUAUAUUUUGCCUUGUGAAGGGCCUGAUGAACAACCUGGGACUAUUCAACCAAUUAUAACUUCUAUACCUAUAAAUUUAUAGGGAAGUGAUUUAUUGCAAUGCUCAGUUAUGAUUUCAUACAGUUGAACAACUGAUGACAAAAACAAAAAAGAGGGAGAAACAGGGAUUACAGGACAGCCCAUAUGUAAUUGAAUCUAACAUUAUUAUCUUUAAACUUUUUUUUUUUUUUUUUUUUUUUUUAACUCAUCCAUGUUUCUGUUUAUAUACAGGAUAACAAAUUCAGGAACAAUGGGAAAGUAAUAUAUGAAACCUUAAUAGGAAAUACAAUAGAGAUUACAAAACACUACCAUUUGAUUUUUUAUGCAAAUACUUCAAUCUUCCAAUAUUUUUACUCACUUGCUAAAUAAAGCACAUGACUCGAAAUCCUAAAUAAUUCUGUUAGUCUAAAUCUUUUAAAGAAUAAAAUGUUGGUGAAAAACCAAAAUUGUUUAGUAAGGUAUGUAUGACCUUGUUUAUUAUCUAUCACAGACAUGAAGAUGAUCAUAGUUAAUACCAAUUUAAGCUUUACAGAAUACUGUUUUAGGCCCAAUAUUGAUAUGUUAAAUGAAGGUAUCAGAGAAUCUUGUAUUUAUGGCAUCAGGUUAUAAAGAUCUAUUCAAAACCAUUUUUGUCAAAGUUUAAACACUGGAGCAAAAGUCAAAUUGUUUCUAAAUGAGACACAAAAUGAUUCUUGCUAAUAAUACAAAUUUUGUCCCAUGGGUAAUACUAUUGUCUUUUUCUUUUUUAAAAAAAUUUUUGAUUUUUAUUUUAGAUUCAGGGAACACAUGGGCAGGUCUGUUAGCUGGGUAUACUGUGUGAUGUUGAGGUUUGGGGUAUGGAUGAUCCUGUCACCCAGGUAGUGAGCAGAGUCCCCAGUAGGUAGUUUUUCAGCUCUUGCUCCCGCUCCCCAACCUACCUCCCCAGUGUCUAUUAUUCCCAUGGGUCCUCAGGUAUUACUAUUUUCAAAUUUUUUUCUUUACAUGAAACUACUGAAAGCAAAAGUAUGUCAUGCUUAUAGGUCACUCUGUACAUUUAUCAUUCUAUUAAUAAACAUCUUAAAUAAUUAUGUAGUAUAUUAAGGCCAUAAACCAAAUCAUUAUCUCCUAUCAAAGGACUACUGUUAUUCAAUCAUCUAGAAAAUUCAUUUUAGGCAGGACUCAGUGGCUCACGUCUGUAAUCUCAGCACUUUGGGAGGCUGAGGUGGGUGGAUCAUGAAGUCAGGAGUUCGAGACCAUCCUGACCAGCAUGGUGAAACCCCGCCUCUACUAAAAAUACAAAAAUUAGCUGGGCGUGGUGGUGUGUGCCUGUAAUCCCAGCUACUCAGGAGGCUGAGGCAGGAGAAUCACUUGAACCCGGGAGGCAGAGGUUGCAGUGAGCUGAAAUUGCGCCAUUGCACUCCAGCCUGGGCGACAGAGAGAAACUCUGUCUU
Molecule: long non-coding RNA, 2109 nt
Filed under: Homo sapiens (human)
Lineage: Eukaryota; Metazoa; Chordata; Mammalia; Primates; Hominidae
Description: non-protein coding lnc-UPRT-2:1
Source: RNAcentral